RNAcentral lists this ribosomal RNA (1540 nucleotides) under Klebsiella pneumoniae. Its description in RNAcentral is "bacterial SSU rRNA". It matches the Rfam family "Bacterial small subunit ribosomal RNA". The record is from RNAcentral. Lineage: Bacteria; Pseudomonadati; Pseudomonadota; Gammaproteobacteria; Enterobacterales; Enterobacteriaceae.
AAAUUGAAGAGUUUGAUCAUGGCUCAGAUUGAACGCUGGCGGCAGGCCUAACACAUGCAAGUCGAGCGGUAGCACAGAGAGCUUGCUCUCGGGUGACGAGCGGCGGACGGGUGAGUAAUGUCUGGGAAACUGCCUGAUGGAGGGGGAUAACUACUGGAAACGGUAGCUAAUACCGCAUAAUGUCGCAAGACCAAAGUGGGGGACCUUCGGGCCUCAUGCCAUCAGAUGUGCCCAGAUGGGAUUAGCUAGUAGGUGGGGUAAUGGCUCACCUAGGCGACGAUCCCUAGCUGGUCUGAGAGGAUGACCAGCCACACUGGAACUGAGACACGGUCCAGACUCCUACGGGAGGCAGCAGUGGGGAAUAUUGCACAAUGGGCGCAAGCCUGAUGCAGCCAUGCCGCGUGUGUGAAGAAGGCCUUCGGGUUGUAAAGCACUUUCAGCGGGGAGGAAGGCGUUAAGGUUAAUAACCUUGGCGAUUGACGUUACCCGCAGAAGAAGCACCGGCUAACUCCGUGCCAGCAGCCGCGGUAAUACGGAGGGUGCAAGCGUUAAUCGGAAUUACUGGGCGUAAAGCGCACGCAGGCGGUCUGUCAAGUCGGAUGUGAAAUCCCCGGGCUCAACCUGGGAACUGCAUUCGAAACUGGCAGGCUAGAGUCUUGUAGAGGGGGGUAGAAUUCCAGGUGUAGCGGUGAAAUGCGUAGAGAUCUGGAGGAAUACCGGUGGCGAAGGCGGCCCCCUGGACAAAGACUGACGCUCAGGUGCGAAAGCGUGGGGAGCAAACAGGAUUAGAUACCCUGGUAGUCCACGCCGUAAACGAUGUCGAUUUGGAGGUUGUGCCCUUGAGGUGUGGCUUCCGGAGCUAACGCGUUAAAUCGACCGCCUGGGGAGUACGGCCGCAAGGUUAAAACUCAAAUGAAUUGACGGGGGCCCGCACAAGCGGUGGAGCAUGUGGUUUAAUUCGAUGCAACGCGAAGAACCUUACCUGGUCUUGACAUCCACAGAACUUUCCAGAGAUGGAUUGGUGCCUUCGGGAACUGUGAGACAGGUGCUGCAUGGCUGUCGUCAGCUCGUGUUGUGAAAUGUUGGGUUAAGUCCCGCAACGAGCGCAACCCUUAUCCUUUGUUGCCAGCGGUCCGGCCGGGAACUCAAAGGAGACUGCCAGUGAUAAACUGGAGGAAGGUGGGGAUGACGUCAAGUCAUCAUGGCCCUUACGACCAGGGCUACACACGUGCUACAAUGGCAUAUACAAAGAGAAGCGACCUCGCGAGAGCAAGCGGACCUCAUAAAGUAUGUCGUAGUCCGGAUUGGAGUCUGCAACUCGACUCCAUGAAGUCGGAAUCGCUAGUAAUCGUAGAUCAGAAUGCUACGGUGAAUACGUUCCCGGGCCUUGUACACACCGCCCGUCACACCAUGGGAGUGGGUUGCAAAAGAAGUAGGUAGCUUAACCUUCGGGAGGGCGCUUACCACUUUGUGAUUCAUGACUGGGGUGAAGUCGUAACAAGGUAACCGUAGGGGAACCUGCGGUUGGAUCACCUCCUUA